GGAAACUUGUUUCGUCGAGUGACGACCACGCGCUCUCCGUCUCUCAGAGGUUUCAGGGUUUAACGGAUGCGUCGGCGAGAUCCAGCCUGAUCCGGAGUUUGAAACGGGUCGAGUCCAUGAGGAACUUACCCGACCCGGUUCCGAACCUAGACAGCAACAAAACCGGUUCGUCCGGUGAGAUUUACCGGAAAGAAGAGGUAGAGAGUCAUUCUAUAACUAACUCGGAUGAACUCACCGAGUCAACCGUUAGAUCUAGAGUUCCUAGAGUCCCUAAACCACCGCCUAAACGGUCUUUUUCAUCCAACGGCUCACACGAUGCCACGGAGGAGAUCCCAGAUCCGCCCCCGCAGAGAACGAGUCCACCACCUCCUCCUCCGCCUCCC
This 383-nucleotide long non-coding RNA is filed under the name Brassica rapa (field mustard). Its description in RNAcentral is "long non-coding RNA (BRAP_LNC005954)". Lineage: Eukaryota; Viridiplantae; Streptophyta; Magnoliopsida; Brassicales; Brassicaceae. The record is from RNAcentral.